UACAGAGGUCUCAAGCGUUGUUCGGAUUCAUUGGGCGUAAAGGGUGCGUAGGUGGCGCCGUAAGUCGGGUGUGAAAUUUCGGAGCUUAACUCCGAAACUGCAUUCGAUACUGCGGUGCUUGAGGACUGGAGAGGAGACUGGAAUUCAUGGUGUAGCAGUGAAAUGCGUAGAGAUCAUGAGGAAGACCAGUGGCGAAGGCGGGUCUUUGGACAGUUCCUGACACUGAGGCACGAAGGCCAGGGGAGCAAACGGG
Molecule: ribosomal RNA, 253 nt
Filed under: uncultured bacterium
Lineage: Bacteria
Description: partial 16S ribosomal RNA
Rfam family: Bacterial small subunit ribosomal RNA
Source: RNAcentral